RNAcentral lists this ribosomal RNA (460 nucleotides) under uncultured bacterium. Its description in RNAcentral is "partial 16S ribosomal RNA". It matches the Rfam family "Bacterial small subunit ribosomal RNA", at positions 338 to 795 of the family's 1533-position model. The record is from RNAcentral.
CCUACGGGAGGCUGCAGUGAGGAAUAUUGGUCAAUGGACGAGAGUCUGAACCAGCCAAGUAGCGUGAAGGAUGACUGCCCUAUGGGUUGUAAACUUCUUUUAUAAAGGAAUAAAACGAGGCACGUGUGCCUUUUUGCAUGUACUUUAUGAAUAAGGAUCGGCUAACUCCGUGCCAGCAGCCGCGGUAAUAAGGAGGGUCCGAGCGUUAUCCGGAUUUAUUGGGUUUAAAGGGAGCGUAGAUGGGUUGGUAAGUCAGUUGUGAAAGUUUGCGGCUCAACCGUAAAAUUGCAAUUGAUACUGGCAGUCUUGAGUACAGUUGAGGUAGGCGGAAUUCGUGGUGUAGCGGUGAAAUGCGUAGAUAUCACGAAGAACCCCGAUUGCGAAGGCAGCUUACUAAACUGUGACUGACAUUGAUGCUCGAAAGUGUGGGGAUCAAACAGGAUUAGAUACCCGGGUAGUC